Molecule: transfer RNA, 61 nt
Filed under: Charinus carajas
Lineage: Eukaryota; Metazoa; Arthropoda; Arachnida; Amblypygi; Charinidae
Description: tRNA-Tyr
Source: RNAcentral
GGUAAGGUGGCUGAUUAAGGUGAUGGAUUGUAAAUCUAUUUAUAGGGUUUUCUUCUUACUA